ACAUUUCACUCUUUAUUAAAUAUCCGAUUAUUAAUAAAUGCAAAAACAAUUCCCGUCACAUAUAUU
This 66-nucleotide small RNA is filed under the name Picochlorum sp. RCC944. RNAcentral's name for it is "partial transfer-messenger RNA". Lineage: Eukaryota; Viridiplantae; Chlorophyta; Trebouxiophyceae. The record is from RNAcentral.